Acanthosepion pharaonis is the source of this 98-nucleotide non-coding RNA. Lineage: Eukaryota; Metazoa; Mollusca; Cephalopoda; Sepiida; Sepiidae. The record is from the annotation of a GenBank genome assembly.
CCUACAACACCGGUUCACGUACGAUUACCGAAGUUAAGCAGCGUCGAGCCUGGUCAGUGCCAAGAUGGGUAACCGCAUUGGAAUAGCAGGUGUUGUAC